This 496-nucleotide ribosomal RNA is filed under the name uncultured bacterium. RNAcentral's name for it is "partial 16S ribosomal RNA". It matches the Rfam family "Bacterial small subunit ribosomal RNA", at positions 28 to 506 of the family's 1533-position model. The record is from RNAcentral.
GAUGAACGCUGGCGGCGUGCCUAAUACAUGCAAGUCGAGCGAACGGACGAGAAGCUUGCUUCUCUGAUGUUAGCGGCGGACGGGUGAGUAACACGUGGAUAACCUACCUAUAAGACUGGGAUAACUUCGGGAAACCGGAGCUAAUACCGGAUAAUAUUUUGAACCGCAUGGUUCAAAAGUGAAAGACGGUCUUGCUGUCACUUAUAGAUGGAUCCGCGCUGCAUUAGCUAGUUGGUAAGGUAACGGCUUACCAAGGCAACGAUGCAUAGCCGACCUGAGAGGGUGAUCGGCCACACUGGAACUGAGACACGGUCCAGACUCCUACGGGAGGCAGCAGUAGGGAAUCUUCCGCAAUGGGCGAAAGCCUGACGGAGCAACGCCGCGUGAGUGAUGAAGGUCUUCGGAUCGUAAAACCCUGUUAUUGGGGAAGAACAUAUGUGUAAGUAACUGUGCACAUCUUGACGGUACCUAAUCAGAAAGCCACGGCUAACUACGU